UCAGUAGAAAGUGCAUUCCAAUAAAAAAUAAGCCUUAACUCCAGAAAUGUUGAAAGGAAACCUAUAAGCAAUGAAAAUAGAAGUGAUUCAUCUAGAGGUGGCAGAACUGGACGAGGAAGAGCAAGAGGAAGAGAUGGAAGAGGUAGAGGAAGAUUCAACUAUGGAAGAAAGUUUACUAACGAGGAAGGCUCAUCAUUCUCAAAGUGUAAUAUUUGUAAAAGAAGUAGUCAUGUUGAAAAAGAUUGUUGGUUCAAAG
This 256-nucleotide long non-coding RNA is filed under the name Vitis vinifera (wine grape). Its description in RNAcentral is "long non-coding RNA (VVIN_LNC001129)". Lineage: Eukaryota; Viridiplantae; Streptophyta; Magnoliopsida; Vitales; Vitaceae. The record is from RNAcentral.